Molecule: ribosomal RNA, 509 nt
Filed under: uncultured bacterium
Lineage: Bacteria
Description: partial 16S ribosomal RNA
Rfam family: Bacterial small subunit ribosomal RNA
Source: RNAcentral
GACGAACGCUGGCGGCGUGCUUAACACAUGCAAGUCGAACGAAGAGCGAUGGAAGCUUGCUUCUAUAAUCUUAGUGGCGAACGGGUGAGUAACGCGUAAUCAACCUGCCCUUCAGAGGGGGACAACAGUUGGAAACGACUGCUAAUACCGCAUACGAUCUAAUCUCGGCAUCGAGGAUAGAUGAAAGGUGGCCUCUACAUGUAAGCUAUCACUGAAGGAGGGGAUUGCGUCUGAUUAGCUAGUUGGAGGGGUAACGGCCCACCAAGGCGAUGAUCAGUAGCCGGUCUGAGAGGAUGAACGGCCACAUUGGGACUGAGACACGGCCCAGACUCCUACGGGAGGCAGCAGUGGGGAAUAUUCCGCAAUGGACGAAAGUCUGACGGAGCAACGCCGCGUGAGUGAUGACGGCCUUCGGGUUGUAAAGCUCUGUUAAUCGGGACGAAAGGCCUUCUUGCGAAUAGUGAGAAGGAUUGACGGUACCGGAAUAGAAAGCCACGGCUAACUACGUG